This 2198-nucleotide long non-coding RNA is filed under the name Phoenix dactylifera (date palm). RNAcentral describes it as "long non-coding RNA (PDAC_LNC001986)". The record is from RNAcentral. Lineage: Eukaryota; Viridiplantae; Streptophyta; Magnoliopsida; Arecales; Arecaceae.
GUCAGACUCUAGAAGGCUUUGUGAGAAGCUAAUGUGAUAUCAGUGGAUACGGGAAACCCAAGAGAAGACUAGUGCAACUCCGGUUGGAUCGAGAUCAGUUCAUAAGACAUCCAACUAGUUAACCUAGUUUAGCUUUUCUUCUUUGCUUUCUGCUUCUAAAUUAGCCUUCUAGUUUAGAUUUAACCUUAUAGUUCUCUAUUAUUUCCCGCUUUCCAGUUCUAGUUUAGAAUCAAAGCCUUCUAGUUAUUUUUUUUUAUUUUCUUGCUUCCAAAAUAUUAAUAAAAAUAAAAAAUAUUGCUUCAUCUUUUGUAGUUCUAAAAAAUCCCAAUCCAAGGUAGGAGAGGCCUUGUUCUGGUCUUAUCGGAUUUAUCCUAGCGAUAUUUGUAACCCCAGCUUGUCUCCUACUCGCAAGUAUCCUUGACCUAUUGCUUCCACAAUCCAGUUGGGUCGAACUCUAGGCCUAUGUUAGAACUCAGAACUCUCUCAGUUUGACUACAAUUCCAUCCUAGUCACAGGAUUUGAUAGCUGGAAUUCCUAUACUUAGGGACUAGUUUCUUUUGGCUCUUAUCACAGGGAAAAAUCAUAGUUGUGCCAAUUAUUUGCAUUGUUAUACUCAAAAAUUAAUUUCUUUCGAGCCUCCAUUACAAGACAAAAUGUGAUUUAAGCAUUACACCACAAGACCAAAUAUAGUUUUAGAUCUUGUCAUGGGCCUAAUUAUGGCCGUAGUCAUAAAGACGGUGAGAGUGAAUAAAAUGUAACUGAAUUGUUGGGAAACUCAUAAUGUUCUUGCCACUUUUAUUAUAGUUUAAUUGUUCUACCUGUUUUCCAAGUCAUCACAUGUUGAUUUUGUAAGCUAAUUGAUUGUUUACAAGACCAAGUAUUGGUACUCUAUGUUUCAUAAAUUUACUUCCAAGAUUUUUGAAAUUAUUACUUAUUAUUUACAUAUUUAUUCAAGCUUUUAAUCCUGCUGCUGGUGAAUGGUGAUAAUGGUAGCUUACCAUGCUUUUCGCUCACUUCUCUAUGUGCUUUAUUUUCUUUCGAAUUUUGAGGGUAGCUGGUUGGAUGUUGCAUUAGGAGGACCGAUCAAUAAAGGUUUAGGAAUUAGAAUUUUUGUCCUCUUUUUUUCUAUCUUUUAGCUGUGACUGAAGCUCAUUGGUAUUGUGUUUGAUAGUACUGUGGAGAAAAUGUGACAUGCUUCGUUCUAUUAGGUGAUGUUUCGUGGUUGGAGGCUAGUUGCAUCGAUGCUCUGACCUCUACCUAUGAUGUUGGAUAUUAAAUAAAAUGUUUCUUUGUGGUUUCUUGUUGGAAUUGUGUAAUACAUGUAUUAGGCCUAGCAUGUCUCGUGGGGCUAAGUCCAAUGGGAAAUGCAGCCAUUUAUCACAUACCUAGCUCAUGCAGUUAGGUCAAGGGCAUCAUAAAUAUAGUAGCAUCACAGUGAACUUGGUUAAUGUCCCAUGUGGAACAGGGGACAUUGCAACACGAGCCCUUUUGGAGCUGGCCAUAAGGCAAUCAUGGUAUUCAUAAUUGAAUUUGGAUCUUUCGCUUAGUGACAAUACCAGGGAGUAAAUAAGGAGAGUUUGUGAAGACUGUUUAGUCCCAAACUGGUUAUGCACAGAGUAUACCCUACGUACUUAUAUGAGGCAAAAGAAUCCAAAUGAUAACUUUUGGCUAGUUUUUUGGGUGAGGUUCUAAGCCGUUUCAAGUAAUUCUCAAGCAAUCCAAGUCUUAGCGAUUAUAUUUAUAUCUAAAUUAAUAAACAGAAAACCAUCCUGAAUUCCUGAUAGUCAAAAAGAUACAACUAAUUGAAGAAAAAGGCUAUAUCAAUAGAUCUUAUUUGCGAUUAUAGAAAAACAUGAUUUCCACAUAUAAUUGUUUUAUUUUGAAUUAAAUAUGAGACAGAAAUAGAUCAAAAUUUAUCCAAGAUUUAGACGAUUGAUUGCGAGGGGUACUACUACUGACUCAUGAUUGAUAAACUUAGUCUUCAAAACAACCAUUAUCUUAAGAUUAUAGAAGAUUGGAAACAACUAGGAGUAUAAUUCUAGGGAAUUCAAUAGAGAGAUGACGUUAUUUAGAAGCAAGAGAAUUUGGGGAAUUUUUAUAGACAUCACAUGGAGAAAGAAGAGACAAAAUUUAUGCUCAAAUUUAUGAGAUAAUGCUUAAAUCUUAUGAAUAGUUAAAAAAGAUGCAUAUGAUUGCAG